GGAAGAUUAGCUCAGUUGGGAGAGCGUCGCCCUUACAAGGCGAAUGUCACGGGUUCGAGUCCCUUAUCUUCCACCA
RNAcentral lists this transfer RNA (76 nucleotides) under Mycoplasmopsis cynos. Its description in RNAcentral is "tRNA-Val". It matches the Rfam family "tRNA". From Rfam's summary of the family: Transfer RNA (tRNA) molecules are approximately 80 nucleotides in length. Their secondary structure includes four short double-helical elements and three loops (D, anti-codon, and T loops). Further hydrogen bonds mediate the characteristic L-shaped molecular structure. tRNAs have two regions of fundamental functional importance: the anti-codon, which is responsible for specific mRNA codon recognition, and the 3' end, to which the tRNAs corresponding amino acid is attached (by aminoacyl-tRNA synthetases). tRNAs cope with the degeneracy of the genetic code in two manners: having more than one tRNA (with a specific anti-codon) for a particular amino acid; and 'wobble' base-pairing, i.e. permitting non-standard base-pairing at the 3rd anti-codon position. Lineage: Bacteria; Bacillati; Mycoplasmatota; Mycoplasmoidales; Metamycoplasmataceae. The record is from RNAcentral.